AGAUGGGAGCUUGCUCCCUGAUGUUAGCGGCGGACGGGUGAGUAACACGUGGGUAACCUGCCUGUAAGACUGGGAUAACUCCGGGAAACCGGGGCUAAUACCGGAUGCUUGAUUGAACCGCAUGGUUCAAUUAUAAAAGGUGGCUUUUAGCUACCACUUACAGAUGGACCCGCGGCGCAUUACCUAGUUGGUGAGGUAACGGCUCACCAAGGCAACGAUGCGUAGCCGACCUGAAAGGGUGAUCGGCCACACUGGGACUGAAACACGGCCCAAACUCCUACGGGAGGCAGCAGUAGGGAAUCUUCCGCAAUGGACGAAAGUCUGACGGAGCAACGCCGCGUGAGUGAUGAAGGUUUUCGGAUCGUAAAACUCUGUUGUUAGGGAAAAACAAGUACCGUUCGAAUAGGGCGGUACCUUGACGGUACCUAACCAAAAAGCCACGGCUAACUACGUGCCAGCAGCCGCGGUAAUACGUAGGUGGCAAGCGUUGUCCGGAAUUAUUGGGCGUAAAGCGCGCGCAGGCGGUUUCUUAAGUCUGAUGUGAAAGCCCCCGGCUCAACCGGGGAGGGUCAUUGGAAACUGGGGAACUUGAGUGCAAAAAAGGAGAGUGGAAUUCCACGUGUAGCGGUGAAAUGCGUAGAGAUGUGGAGGAACACCAGUGGCGAAGGCGACUCUCUGGUCUGUAACUGACGCUGAGGCGCGAAAGCGUGGGGAGCGAACAGGAUUAGAUACCCUGGUAGUCCACGCCCGUAAACGAUGAG
This 761-nucleotide ribosomal RNA is filed under the name Bacillus licheniformis. RNAcentral's name for it is "bacterial SSU rRNA". It matches the Rfam family "Bacterial small subunit ribosomal RNA", at positions 70 to 813 of the family's 1533-position model. The record is from RNAcentral. Lineage: Bacteria; Bacillati; Bacillota; Bacilli; Caryophanales; Bacillaceae.